Molecule: ribosomal RNA, 253 nt
Filed under: uncultured bacterium
Lineage: Bacteria
Description: partial 16S ribosomal RNA
Rfam family: Bacterial small subunit ribosomal RNA
Source: RNAcentral
UACGAAGGGGGCGAGCGUUGUUCGGAUUUACUGGGCGUAAAGGGCGCGCAGGCGGUGAUGUAAGACAGUUGUGAAAUCCCCGGGCUCAACCUGGGAACUGCAUCUGUGACUGCAUCGCUGGAGUGCGGCAGAGGGGGAUGGAAUUCCGCGUGUAGCAGUGAAAUGCGUAGAUAUGCGGAGGAACACCGAUGGCGAAGGCAAUCCCCUGGGCCUGCACUGACGCUCAUGCACGAAAGCGUGGGGAGCAACCAGG